RNAcentral lists this long non-coding RNA (305 nucleotides) under Hordeum vulgare. RNAcentral's name for it is "long non-coding RNA (HVUL_LNC013501)". The record is from RNAcentral. Lineage: Eukaryota; Viridiplantae; Streptophyta; Magnoliopsida; Poales; Poaceae.
CCCAAUCCCCUCCCCGCUAGGGUUUUCCAACCAUGGCGUCGGCGUCGCGCGCGCUCCUCCUCUCCAGGGCCUCGCCCCUCCACGCCGCCGCCUCUCGCUUCCUCCGCCCGCUCGCCGCCGCGGGGAGCCUCCUCCCGGCGGCGCUGGUCCCGUCCCACGCCGCGGCGCCCUGGGCGGCGGCGAGGCGAUUCGCGACGCAGCCCGCCAACUCGUCGCUGCGGGACUCGUCCCCGAACUGGAGCAACCGCCCGCCCAAGGAGACGAUCCUCCUCGACGGCUGCGACUUCGAGCACUGGCUCGUCGUC